GUAGGUGGUUUGUUGCNUCGUCUGUGAAAUUCCGGGGCUUAACUUCGGGGUGGCAGGCGAUACGGGCAUAACUAGAGUGCUGUAGGGGAGACUGGAAUUCCUGGUGUAGCGGUGGAAUGCGCAGAUAUCAGGAGGAACACCGAUGGCGAAGGCAGGUCUCUGGGCAGUAAUUGACGCUGAGGAGCGAAAGCAUGGGGAGCGAACAGGAUUAGAUACCCUGGUAGUCCAUGCUGUAAACGGUGGGCGUUAGGUGUGGGGACCGGUUUGGUUUCUGUGCCGUAGCUAACGCAUUAAGCGCCCCGCCUGGGGAGUACGGCUGCAAGGCCAAAACUCAAAGGAAUUGACGGGGGCCCGCACAAGCGGCGGAGCAUGUGGAUUAAUUCGAUGCAACGCGAAGAACCUUACCUGGGUUUGACAUGCACCAGACGGUUGUAGAGAUACGUACCUCCCUUUGUGGUUGGUGUGCAGGUGGUGCAUGGUUGUCGUCAGUUCGUGUCGUGAGAUGUUGGGUUAAGUCCCGCAACGAGCGCAACCCUUGUCUUAUGUUGCCAGCACUUUGGGUGGGGACUCAUGAGAGACUGCCGGGGUUAACUCGGAGGAAGGUGGGGAUGACGUCAAAUCAUCAUGCCCUUUAUGCCCAGGGCUUCACACAUGCUACAAUGGUUAGUACAACGCGCUGCGAACCUGUGGGGGUGAGCGAAUCGCUGAAAGCUAAUCUCAGUUCGGAUUGGGGUCUGCAACUCGACCCCAUGAAGUCGGAGUCGCUAGUAAUCGCAGAUCAGCAAUGCUGCGGUGAAUACGUUCCCGGGCCUUGUACACACCGCCCGUCACGUCAUGAAAGUUGGUAACACCCGAAGCCCAUGGCCUAACC
This 871-nucleotide ribosomal RNA is filed under the name uncultured bacterium. Its description in RNAcentral is "bacterial SSU rRNA". It matches the Rfam family "Bacterial small subunit ribosomal RNA", at positions 571 to 1440 of the family's 1533-position model. The record is from RNAcentral.